GUCUAUAGCCACACCACGCCCCAUCUCAUCUGAUCUUGGAAGCUAAACAGUUAGGCCUGGUUAGUUCUUGGAUGGGAGACAUUGUCUCACAAAGAAAACAAAAACAACCAGGGCCUAGGCG
Molecule: ribosomal RNA, 121 nt
Organism: Cricetulus griseus (Chinese hamster)
Lineage: Eukaryota; Metazoa; Chordata; Mammalia; Rodentia; Cricetidae
Source: Ensembl